Molecule: long non-coding RNA, 912 nt
Organism: Neoarius graeffei (lesser salmon catfish)
Lineage: Eukaryota; Metazoa; Chordata; Actinopteri; Siluriformes; Ariidae
Exons: 4
Source: RefSeq, a predicted model, not a curated record
AACGAAAAGUCUAAUGGCACAGCAAUUCAGCAUGCAUCUAUUUGAAAACGUUUCACCUUACGCCUACAGCAAGAUCAACUGAAGGUUGCCUGACGUGGUGGGGGUGUGGCUGUGAAGACAUGGAUAAUUGGGUUGAUCGCAAUGAACAGAAUCAAUUGCUGCUAUCUUCGGACGCAGAGAGCACCUUUUGCUUCAACAGCUUCUACUUUGACAACAAAGCUUUGGAUUCUACUUGACUACACGACUGGGAUUCACUCUUGAAAAGGUACACAUUGUUUGCAUGGUAUUGCAUUGCAGCCAAUGAGUUCAAAGAGGUUGGCCAGACAGAUCUACACAAAGGAAUGGAAGAGGGCGCGGCGAGAGGUGUUGAAUGUGCGAGCACUGGUGCGUGCCCAGCUGGAUGCAGGAGAUGCAGCAAACAGGGCAGAGGAGUCUGCGCGAGAUGCAGCAAGCAGGGAAGAGCAGGCUGCGCGAGAUGCAGCAAGGACAGGCCAGGCUCUGCAAGAAGCAGAGCAACAACAUAAUGGACCUCAACACAUGCCAGAGAUACAACCGGCGGAGAUUGAAGAACAGCCUGAGUUCAUGGCAGAGCCAACAAGUUCGGUCAGCAGCUCGGAGCAGGACAGCAGCAGUCCCUCAACCCAUGUCAGUCCAGCACCCAGCUGUCGGACAUUGGAAGAGUCGUACAUUGAGGAACAAACAUCAUCCGACCCAGCUGAGGGUACAUUUGCUUUGAAUUUUAUAUUUACUAUCUGAUUACAAGUUCUUAACCAAGAAAGCAAACACUAACAAUUUUCUUUUCAAGAACUUCAGGAAUGACCCAUGGCGAAGAGGAGGGGGCUUCAGGCAUGGCUGCCGUAAUAAGGCUCCUGGAGGAACGAAAGAGGCUCCUAUUGAGGACGACAGAUGACA